CUACGGGUGGCAGCAGUGAGGAAUAUUGCACAAUGGAGGAAACUCUGAUGCAGCAACGCCGCGUGGAGGAUGACGCAUUUCGGUGUGUAAACUCCUUUUAUAUGUCAAGAAAAUGACGGUAGCAUAUGAAUAAGCUCCGGCUAACUCCGUGCCAGCAGCCGCGGUAAUACGGAGGGAGCAAGCGUUACUCGGAAUCACUGGGCGUAAAGGACGCGUAGGCGGGAUAGAAAGUCAGGUGUGAAAUCCUAUGGCCCAACCAUAGAACUGCACUUGAAACUUCUAACCUAGAGUAUGGGAGGGGAAGAUGGAAUUAGUGGUGUAGGGGUAAAAUCCGUAGAUAUCACUAGGAAUACCAAAAGCGAAGGCGAUCUUCUGGAACAAUACUGACGCUAAGGCGUGAAAGCGUGGGGAGCAAACAGGAUUAGAUACCCUGGUAGUC
RNAcentral lists this ribosomal RNA (439 nucleotides) under uncultured bacterium. RNAcentral's name for it is "partial 16S ribosomal RNA". It matches the Rfam family "Bacterial small subunit ribosomal RNA", at positions 339 to 795 of the family's 1533-position model. The record is from RNAcentral.